This is a long non-coding RNA of Eriocheir sinensis (Chinese mitten crab), 3785 nucleotides long. RefSeq lists it as uncharacterized. NCBI's taxonomy places the organism in Eukaryota, Metazoa, Arthropoda, Malacostraca, Decapoda, Varunidae. The transcript is spliced from 11 exons. The record is from RefSeq and is a predicted model, not a curated record.
GGCACGCCCCUUCCAGUGGGAUGAGCAGGGUAAGUGAUUGUUUUUGAUUAUCUGUUUGAAAGUCUGUUUGAUGCUAUCUGCAAUAAACAGAGGCCAAGAUUUGAAAUUAAUUAAAGUGGUUAUGUGUUGAAGAAUGUACACUUUUGCGGCAGUUUGUGUUCAUGAUUUUCUCUCAUGAGCUUAAUGAUGAUUUAUUUUGAUAAUGUGAUUAGUAGAGGAAAGGGAGAAGGGAUUGAUUUCAUGGCCAUGGCUGUAGUAUAAGAUAUGCUAUGGUAUACUGAUUAGAAAUAAAGAUAUCCCACUUUUCAUCCUUAUGUACAUAAGGACGUAGGAGUCUGCAAGAGGCCGGUAGGCCUAUACAAGGCAGUUCCUUUGAGCCUAAGCUCCCGUGUAUCUAACCCCACCUAGUAUCGCUGUCCAUUAAUUUAUCUAAUAUAUUUUUGAAUGUGACAAUUGUAUUGGCACUCACCACAUGACUGCUAAGCCUAUUCCACUCAUCCACCACUCUGUUAGUAAACCAAUUUUUGCCUAUAUCCCUGUUGAAUCUGUACUUAUCCAGUUUCAACCCAUUACUUCGUGUCCUGCCCGUUUCUCUUACCAAAAAAACCUUAUGAAUAUCCCCCUUAUUAAAGCCCUUCAUCCAUUUAUAAACCUCGAUCAUGUCUCCACGCACCCUUCGCCUUUCCAGAGAAUGCAAGUUUAAAUGUUUGAGUCUUUCCUCGUAUGGAGAGUUUCUCAACCCCUGAAUCAUCUUAGUCAUCCUCCUCUGCACCGAUUCUAACAUUUUGAUAUCCAUUCUGUAGUAAGGUAGGAAAGAGAUGGGUUGCUGCUUUAUUGCCAGUGUCCCUACCCACUGCUUAUUAGUGCUAAGGACCAGCUCAUUGUCAGAGGUUGUGUCCCAACCACCUGAAGGAGUUAAAUUUAAUACAACUUUGAGUGACAGGCUCUCUCUAGCACAGGUGCAGGGUUCAUGGAAGCAAAGAUGAGUGUCAAAGCAAGUUGCAGCUGUGGUUUAAAAUCUGUUGUCAUUGUCGUGGAGUGGCCUUGUAUGGAAGCUUCUCUUGCAUUUCUCAUACUGGGAUUAUUAUGCAUUUAUAAACAUAUCAGAAGUUGUACAGAGUGGACCAUGAUGGGAAGCCUCGGCAGCUCGUGGUGAGGUCUUUUGAGGAGGUUGCUGCUGUGAUCACAGCAGUCCCACUGCAGGGCAUAGCGGCUGGGUUACCACUUGUCAGAAUGUCUCCUCAGUUUACUAUUGGCGAAACAUGACCCAGGACAUGAAACAUUAUAUUGAAACAUGUAGUAAGUGCCAGCACUACACGCCAAUGAAGACAAAGGCCCCAGAGAUGCGUCCCAUAAAGGUGAAGGAGCCGUUGGAACUUAUAGGAGUCGACUUGGUCGGUGGGGCAAGCCUGCAAGGAUCCUGACUGAUCACGGACGUGAGUUUUGUUCCUCGAUCAACGACGAACUCUGCAAGUUCUACGGGAUCCGGAGGAGUAUCACGUCUGCCUACCAUCCGCAGACUAAUGGACUGGCAGAGAGAAUUAACCAGACUCUGGAGACCAGGCUUUCCAAGCUCUGCAACGCGACCAAGACCGACUGGCCAAACUUCCUGGAUGAAGUCGCCUAUAGCAUCCGUACCCAAAAGCAGCGGACCACCGGGUUCACACCUUUCCGGUUGAUGUUUGCUCGUGAGCACCGGCCACUUCACCAGGAAGAAAUUACAUUUGCUCCUGAGGCUUCUGCACAACCAGAGGGAAGGAGUACCACACCAGAAGUAAGUAGAAAGUAGAUUCAUAUGUAAUGUGCAAAUUCUGGAAGAAAAGUGUAUAUCUCACAAGAAUUGAAGAAUAUGUCUAGUACCUCUCAAGUAAUCUUCUUUUGCAGUUUCUUUUUGUUACAGUUCUUUGAAGAACUUGUUGAACUGCCCUCUUCCGAGGAUAUUACGGAGUGUGUCAAAGAGCAGGACCAGAGGCGUGAAGAACUGCACUCCAAGCGGGAACAGAGAGUUGAAGCAGCCCAAGAAAAGCAGAAGGCUGAGUACAGGAACAGGAAAGCAAGAGGAGUGAAGACCUUCAGCUUCUCUGUAGGGAUGAAGGUUCUUAAAAGAAACCUUCGCAAUGAGACUCGGAAGGGUGGGAUAAUGGAGCAGAAGUGGACUGGUCCAUACAAAGUCCUUGACAUCGACUCCUCAAACCGUGUGGCACUUGAGGCUGUGAGCAAUGGGAAGAAGCUCAAGAGCCGUACUCCAUACAACAACCUGAGGCCAUUCCUCCAGAGCCAGUUGCACUGUGACAGACACUUAUUGGACCACAGAGAUAGACUGCAGCCCUCCAGCAUUCAGGGACCUGUGCAGCCAUCACCUGACACCUCACAGUGCCUUUGCUGGACCUUCCUCAUCUACAAAUGUUGUUGAUGAUGACCUGUUUCCCUCGAUGAGUACGACAAUAAUCGAGGUGUCAGAGGAGUGAACCAACAGGAGAAGUGCCCCCAUCAUCGGCCUCAUCCUGUGUCCGACGACCCAGUGCCCUUAAACCCCAAAGGUCAACUUCCCUUCCUGCCAGUAGAAGUGGUAGUAGACCAGCAACUCCCACAGCAGCAGGUCACGAGUUACAACUGGUUCCUGAGUUCCUUACUACCCAAAAGGAAAUUCGAGGUCUGCUGAAGGACCUGGUGGAGGAGCAACGGACGAAUGGAAACCAUCUACGGGAUAUCGCCCGAGGUUUUACUGAAAUGGGGAAUUUAGGCAACCAUGUACAGGAUAUUGGCCAAAGUCUUAGGGAAAUAGGCGAGACACUGAUGGCCAUAACGGGGACUAUCAGUUCAAGAAAGUAGUUUUUUUUUUUAAGUUAUUAUUUUCAUAAAUUAAGAUUUGAAUAUUUCUAUAUAAGAAUAUUUUAUAUAAUCAUUUUCAUUAUUAACUUUAAGAUCUUUGAUGGUGUUUGUCAAGCCAAUGCAUACCACAGAGGGGGGAUAUCCAGCACGACAGGAAUCAUUCCAUAUUUUUUUUCUUAGUGCAUUAUGAUAUGCCACUAUAAAAAAAAUUCAGAGAGAACCAUCAUACACUGAACUUUAAUUUUUGCCAAGUUGUGUUAUAUUUUAUAUUUUUUAAAUUCAGCACGUCAUGUUUUCUAUCUUGCCUGUAUAAUGUUCAUGAACAGGACGUUACCUGCCUUGCGUAUAGUCCUAACAUCAUUUACAGAUGCCGGACCACAGGUAUCAUCAUCUUCAGUGUAGGACGGUUCUUUCCUGGCCAUUUUCUAGUGGAACAUCAUGAUGCAUAAAGAGAUAAAAAAUAUCAAAAACAUAUUUUGCAUCUUCAAUGACAUAGUUUCCAACCGUGUAAUUCAGGUAACAUUUUUUUUACUAAAAACAGCCUUACAUAUGCAAUUCAUAAACAGUGUGCCUAAAAAGGUAUAAUUAACCCAGUAGCAGCGACGGGCCAAAUGUGUGCCAUGAUUUAAACCCCCCAAAAUAGAUGAUACAUAAACUGAUCACAAAUGCUUCAAUAUAUAUUAUGAAAUGGUUUGUGUAAGUGAUGAUUUUUUUCUCAAUUUUUUUUCUUGCUUAGAAGUACCAUUAAGAAACAUGAUCCCCACUGCUACCGGGUUAAACUAAACCUCAUGGGACUGACAUUCCUUUCCUGCUGGAUAUCCCCAUUCUGCAGUAUGUAUUUUGAUCUCAUUUAUAGUUCCUUAGUUUCUAAUUAUUUUUUUUAUAAUAUUACAAUAAGUUUAUUAUUAUUGGUUUAAGUGUAAUAGUUUUUGUCAUUCAAUAUUUUUUAUACA